Molecule: ribosomal RNA, 301 nt
Filed under: uncultured bacterium
Lineage: Bacteria
Description: partial 16S ribosomal RNA
Rfam family: Bacterial small subunit ribosomal RNA
Source: RNAcentral
CAGUCGCCGCGGGAACACGUAGGGUGCGAGCGUUAAUCGGAAUUACUGGGCGUAAAGCGUGCGCAGGCGGUUUUGUAAGACAGGCGUGAAAUCCCCGGGCUCAACCUGGGAAUGGCGCUUGUGACUGCAAAGCUAGAGUGCGGCAGAGGGGGAUGGAAUUCCGCGUGUAGCAGUGAAAUGCGUAGAUAUGCGGAGGAACACCGAUGGCGAAGGCAAUCCCCUGGGCCUGCACUGACGCUCAUGCACGAAAGCGUGGGGAGCAAACAGGAUUAGAUACCCCCGUAGUCCCUGUCUCUUAUAC